CCUCCCUCCAUGCAGCCCCCUGCCCACACACACUUCUUGGGAAGCAGAUGUGAUGAGAAGUGCUGAAGCAACAUGAGAUAUGACGUUCUUGAAGAAUCUCUGAUCUGCUGAGCAACGUCCUGAGAGAUUUACAGCUCCAAAGGAUUUACCAUAAAUAAAUAAAACCUUUCAACACCUUAGAGCUCCUGGGAAACAAAAUCCCAAACAUUCUAAGUUUCGCUUAUCACUUCUUAUUGCCAGCGUUACCGGCGAGUUUGCUGACUGUUCGGUCCCGUUGUGCUGUCCACCUGCCUCUUGCAUUCUGUCUCAAGCAGCCACAGCAAUAUCCUGUCUCUUCUGCUACUUGUCCAUCCAAUAUAGCGGUGCAUGGGCUCACUGUGAAUCCUAAGCCAUGUGAUGCAUCUGGGUAUGCUGGCUUUACUGGAAGAUUCUUGGACAGUUACCGUAGUGGUAUGAUGUUUCCAGACAAGCACAUAUAUUGCAGAAAAUGCCAUUAUAAAGUGAGCUUCUCUGCUCUUUCAUCUUUCUGAAGCUACCAUUUUUUUCUGGAGCAGAGUCCUUUUUGUUACACUGAGUUUCAAAAGAGCUGGUCUUGCUUAUGCCUGAAUAUGGGUCAUUUUGUAUCUGACCGAGACCAUUUGGUACAGAGAGUAAAGUGAACAUGGCUGUCGCCAUGGGAAGAUCCAUCCUGACCUGCAGUUCUGCAGAGGUGGGACUCAGCUGUCCAGUUUUACAGUGCCUGAGGGGCUACACUGGACCUCACCCAGGUCGUUGGUUGCAGUUGUACAGGUCUUCAAGUCAUCAGCAAAAAUAUUUUCUUUCCUCACAAUACUAAGUUGUUUCUUGACUGUCUGGCUGCUUUCCCUGAAAAUUUGCAAUGAGUUUGUAAAAGAAGAAGACGGCAAUAUGAAAAUUACUUGGAGGGAUUGUUCUAGUAAUAGCUUGUAAUAUAUUUUAAUGAUUCUUUUCAUUUACUGAAUAACAUUUCAGGUAAAAUCUCAUUCCAGACACACACAGUUCUGCUAUUAAUGCCACAGCUGUGUUACAGCAACUUCUCAUAACAAGAUAUUAUUUUAUGAGAGUAGCUUCAUAAGAGAAGUUUCUUUUUCAUUUUCAGUUUGUUGAAUUAUAGCUGUUUCUGGAUCUGAUGGCUGAGAGAUGGGAGCCUUUUAUUUGGCUACAGUUUUAGAUAACUACAUUAUUUAUGAAAGUAAUCAUUUCUCCUUAUAAUGUAUCAGGAAAUAAUCUGCAUAAUCCCCAGCUUCUUGCAGAAAUCAAAACAUGAUUCAUUUCCUUUUCACAGGUUUUGAUGGUGUAAGAACAUAGGAAAGCAGCUUCUUCAAAACACAGCCUCUGAGGCCAGAGACAAACUUGACCUCUUCUCAAGUGCUUCUCCUUUGCUUGGAGAGGCUGAUCCACAGGGACUGAUGCCAAAGGAAGGUGCUCAGGGCCCAGGGCAAUUUUUCAAGGUGGAAUAGCUACACAGAAGGAGGAUCUUUUUAUAAGUAAAGAUACGUGCAUGAUUCUCCUGUCACUGCUCAACAACAUGCGAUUAUGUAUACUAUUUAAAGCUGCGUUAAAUGCAUAAAUGUGUGUAGUCUGUGACACUCAGCUCAACAGAUAUUAAAAGUUCCCAGCCUGUGGUAAUCAUUUAACUUGCUCUUUAAGAUAUUUGCAACUGCUUCACAUUUUCUACGCCUUUUUAGUGUGUGAGAUGAAAGCCGGAUUAUGGUGAUGGCUCAGAGAGCUACCCCUUCCCUUCCCUUCCUGCUUUUUUUGAAGAAAGAAGGACUGGUUAUUUUUAUUAUUAUUUUAUACCAACACCAAGUUGAAAACAUUUGUAGUUAUUUAAGUGCUUAAGGAGGAUCUGCUUCUUACCUUGGGGUAAGACAGUAAAUUCUUCCAUGUGUUGACUGCAUCAGUUAUCCCUACAUGCUUUUUACAUGCCUAAGGGGUAUUUAGUCAGACGGACUCUCUCUGUUCUAGAGAAAUCUCCAGCAAAGGUCAGCCAAACCAGCAGCACAUACUCAAGAACAAUGUGACGGGUGUGUAUGUGUGAACGGGAGGUCAGUGACAUGGUGCUGAGGGAAGAAGGGUUCUACAGACUGAGGAGCCUUCAGGGUUGCAUCUGCAUUUCCUCUCCUGAGAUUCAUCUUCCCCUCCAUGAACCAGGCAUCAAAUUCAGCUGGCAGGUAAACCUUGCUUCAAUAUCAGUAUGGACAUUUGAAAUUAAGAACCAGGCUUACAAAAGGACACACUGUCAACUUCAGUGAACUUACAAAGUGUUGCUACAAAAGACGUAGGAUCCACUUUUCAUAGGUGCUUUAUUCUUCAUGGAGGAUUAUUCACAUCUGUAAGGGCUCUGCCAAACACUGAAUCUUUCUGGUGCCAGUGCGGGUUUGUUACUUUUGUCACAGGCUCUUUGCAGGCUUGGAAGGACCAUGGUAUGCUGGCCCAUGUUGUCUUAUACAUGCCUAUCCACAUUUGCUUUUCUUCACUUCCUAAGGACAGUGAAAACACUGAGUUUUUCGGGAAGGCUCACAAGAACUUCUUGUUUCCGUUAAACCAUUUUGCUUAGCAUUAAUUGUAUUACACACCUCUAGUUCUUUGCUAAAUUAGUCCUCCAUUAGCUUUUACAUUAUUUUAUCCUUCCAGCUCAGGCUGAAAGGGCUGUAAUUGUCUGGGUUACACAUAUAACUUUAAAAAAAAAUUGCUGUGAUAUUGGCUUUUUCUUUGCUGUCCAUUGGAACUUCUCCAGUGUUCUCAGACUUACCAAAAAGGAAUAUUCAUAGUUUUGACAUUUCUUCAGCCAGCUUUUUAAAAGCUCUUGGUUGCAAAUUAUGCAGGCCUGCUGAUUUAAUUUGUUAUUUAACAUUCUCCUGAUUUACUGCUGGAAUGAACAACAUUGCAUUGUCUUCUUAUGACAGAACUGAUUUUUUUCUGAUUUUUCUUCAAACAGAGAUUGGAUUUAUUUACAGAACAUACAGAUUUUUGCAUAUAUAAUUGACGUGGCUACACUUCUGUGUAGUCAAGACCAAAAAUCUUUCUUGUUAUCCUUAACUCUGAUGAAAAAGCUUACUUUUUGCUUCCAUCCUUAUCAAUUUUCUGUAGUUCUUAUCUUCUGUCUAAUACUCAUGACUUCUAAUAAAUGCCUUUUUUUGCACAAUUAUUUUGAUUUACAUAGCUGUUUUCACUUCUAUGCAAGUCAACAUUUAGGCUAGCCCAGCUUUCAUUCUUUUUUUUAAACCUCUGGUAAAAUGUUUUUAAACACUUUCCAGUUAUUAUCCACAUUUCCUGUCUAAUUUCUUUCUCCCAACUGCUUUAGCUCAUAAUUGUUUUCAGCUUUGCAAAAUUGGCUCUUCCAAUCCGUCAAGUAUACAUAUUACUGGUCUGGACUUAAUUCUGAUUAUAUAUAACAAACAGAAGCAAAUCAUGAUCACUUUUAUCUAAGCUACUGCUGAUUUCUUUAGUGUAGUUCUAUGAUAUUUUAUUUUCAUCUGUAAGGAUAAAAUAAUGCAAUACAGCAUUCCAAAAGUGUUGGACGCAGCACUUUUUAAGGAGUUCAUCAUUUAUGGCAUAUUCAAAGGAUAUAUUAAUUUGGUGGCAUGAAAACUCCAAACCAUGCUGUUCAGAUUGAAGUGCUGACAUUGCAUGGUUUAUUUUCUUCUUGUUUUAUGGAUGCUUACUUAAGGAGAUAGUUUUCCUCUUCUUUUGGUAAUUACUUGCAGAAGGCAGUAAUAACAGAAAAAAAAGCAUACCUUUUUGUACCUCUUUUGUAACACACCAAUCUACAGAUUAAGAAUUACUUAACAUCUUUGAGUCUAUUGCCUAUUUUUGUCAUAUUCCUUUUACCUUAUUUUGAUGACAUAACAGAAUUUAGAAAGGACAGAACUGGCUUCCUACAGAAUCCUUCCCAAGGAAGAGGGAUGGGUUAGAAGUGGAAUAUGUUUAACAGCUCCACCCCAACUGUCAUUUUAAGAAGGGCAUAGUGCUUGUCUCAGCUUUUUAUACUUUCUUGAUGCUUUUCUCAAUAGAUUGCCAGAUGGUAAAGUGGAUUAGAGAGUCAGGCUUCGGUACAACAUGUAGCCUAGAAACCAGGAAACUGGCUCUUGAGUGGGAAACACUGCUAAUUUCAGUGGAUCUAGGAUCUGGCUCUGUAUUGUAAUUGUUAAUGGAGAGAGUUAGAAAUGACAGCCAGCUUUGUGCCCUGAGCUAGGGAAGAUGAUCUCAUUUUGAGUAUGUUAUUCUUCAUGUUUGUUUCCUACUAAGAAUUUUUUAGAGCACUUUGCAGCUACCUUAUUUAUGAUUCUGUUCAUCUUUGGUUUGUUGAUGUUAAACACUUAGGGUACACUUGUGUAUUUUUUAAUUUGAAACCCUAUUAUUUUUUUGUGAAGUUAUGAUUCCAUUUUCCAAAUUAGAUCAAUGUUCAACAGAAUUAGUCAAUUUACAUUGUCAAAAAUAUAUUGCAUUUCUCAUCGAAACCCUCCACUUUUCAUAAAAUGACCUUUUUGCUUUAGGACUAUCACUAUAAUUAAUAACAAUAAAAUAAUAUUUUUCUGUGGCCUCUAAAUGCUCAAGCAAAUGCAUCUAUUGGAAAAUAGAGAUUUUUGAAAUUACUUUUUUGAUGAAAAAUGUAGACUCACUAGUGCCAAAUGUUUCAUGAAUACAUGUCAGUCUUUGCCACAUUUUAUUUUUGUUGCUGUCAAAAAGCUGAAUAUAAACUGUUCUGAUCCUUCCCAAAUAACAGGUUUCUAUUUAUCUGUUUGAAGCAAGCUCUUCUCCCUGAAUUUUUUUUGUAUUACUUCUUCUAUCAGAAGACUAGUGUGCUUAACGAUGCAAACUUGAUUAACUAAUGAGAUGGUAACAUGUCACUUGCUUCCUUUCACAAGCAUCUAGCCAAAUGAGAACUGGGCAGACUGGUCAUGCUUCUCAUGGUCCCAAUGUUGUUAUGUCAGAGAGGCAUGGAGUGAUGGACCAGUGAUAGACGGAGAGAUUAGACAGAGAGGGUCAGAGCGGUGGGACAGCCACAUGUAACUUCUAGGCAAUUGGGCCUGAAAAGCUUUGAUGACCCUUGCUGUACCCAGUGGUGCUGUGCUCCAAAGGGAGGGUGAGAAUUUAACACACAGUGCCUUCCUGAUAUCAGAGGACUUCAAUAGGUUUUAAAAUCUAAGGUGAUAUCACUGUUAAGUGCUUCACUGUGAGAGGCUGCCCUCUGGGCUUAAAGAGGUUUGUAGGAAGUCCUGUGCUGUAACUGCUUGAGCAAGUAACUAUAUUUGUUCAUUGCAGUAUGGUGGUGUUUAAAUCGUGGUUUUACAUGUAGGACUUCCUCCAAUGAUGCAAAAAACCACGUUAAGUAGAGAUGACAGAGACUGCCAGUGGAUCAGGAAAGUUCAUGAUAUCAGUCUUUCUGUGGGACAGCUCGCUGAACACAGCCCUCUCCAGCUUUCACAUUCUUGUGGGAAAGAAAAACCUAUCAUUCAAAUUUUAGCAGAGCAGCCAAAAUGAAUUUCUGAGGAUUAUUUCCGGUUCAAAAUUUGCAUGAUCCUUCUCCUGUGAAUGUUAACCUAUCCCCCUGUACCAGUGCAACCUGUGGAAGGCAGGUGGGUUACAGAAAUGAAGCUCUGGAUUAAAGGUGGAUCACACUGGGAAUAAUGACAGAGUGUACUGGGAGGAGGCCACAAGCUCACUCCUCCUGCACUCAUCCAUCCCUCUGUAAGAGACGGAACACAUUCAUUGUCAGAAAAUAUGCUAAUGCAGUGUAGGGAAAGUUUAACUGGGUGUAUUGGGUCUGGCUGAGAUGGAGUUAAUUCUCCCCAUAGCAGCCCUCACAGUGCUGUGCUCUGUAUUGGUAGCCGGAAAGGUGUUGGUAACACACCCGUGUUUUGGCUACUGCUGAGCAGUGCUGGCACAGCAUCAAGUCUGUGUCUCCAACAUUCCCCCCUCACUAGUAGGCUGGGGGGUGGGCAAGAUCUUGGGAGGGGACAUAGCCAAGACAGCUGAUCCAAACUGACCAAAGGGUUAUUCCAUACCUUAUGACACCUGCACAGCAAUAAAAGCUAAGAGAAAGGAGGAGGAAAGGGGGGCAUUCGUUAUUACAACGUUUGUCUUCCAGAGCAACCACUACGUGUACUAAAGCCCUACUUCCUGGGAAGUGGCUGGACAUCACCUGCUGAUGGGAAGUAGAGAAUAAAUCUUUUGUUUUCCUUUGAUUCCACGUGCAGCCUUUGCUUUUGCUUUAUUAAACUGCCUUUAUCUUGA
Molecule: long non-coding RNA, 6258 nt
Organism: Harpia harpyja (harpy eagle)
Lineage: Eukaryota; Metazoa; Chordata; Aves; Accipitriformes; Accipitridae
Exons: 7
Source: RefSeq, a predicted model, not a curated record